UGGGGAAUAUUGGACAAUGGGGGCAACCCUGAUCCAGCAAUGCCGCGUGUGUGAAGAAGGUCUUCGGAUUGUAAAGCACUUUCGACGGGGACGAUGAUGACGGUACCCGUAGAAGAAGCCCCGGCUAACUUCGUGCCAGCAGCCGCGGUAAUACGAAGGGGGCUAGCGUUGCUCGGAAUGACUGGGCGUAAAGGGCGUGUAGGCGGUUUACACAGUCAGAUGUGAAAUCCCCGGGCUUAACCUGGGAGCUGCAUUUGAUACGUGUAGACUAGAGUGUGAGAGAGGGUUGUGGAAUUCCCAGUGUAGAGGUGAAAUUCGUAGAUAUUGGGAAGAACACCGGUGGCGAAGGCGGCAACCUGGCUCAUGACUGACGCUGAGGCGCGAAAGCGUGGGGAGCAAACAGGUUAGAUACCCUGGUAGUCCACGCUGUAAACGAUGUGUGCUAGAUGUUGGGUAACUUUGUUAUUCAGUGUCGC
Molecule: ribosomal RNA, 476 nt
Filed under: uncultured bacterium
Lineage: Bacteria
Description: partial 16S ribosomal RNA
Rfam family: Bacterial small subunit ribosomal RNA
Source: RNAcentral